Molecule: ribosomal RNA, 395 nt
Filed under: uncultured bacterium
Lineage: Bacteria
Description: bacterial SSU rRNA
Rfam family: Bacterial small subunit ribosomal RNA
Source: RNAcentral
GUGUCAGCCGCCGCGGUAAUACGGAGGGGGCAAGCGUUAUUCGGAUUUACUGGGCGUAAAGCGCACGUAGGCGGCAAGGCAAGUCAAAGGUGAAAGCCCUCGGCUCAACUGAGGAACUGCCUUUGAAACUGCCCUGCUUGAGUCCGGGAGGGGAGAGCGGAAUUCCCAGUGUAGCGGUGAAAUGCGUAGAUACUGGGAGGAACACCGGUGGCGAAGGCGGCUCUCUGGACCGGCACUGACGCUGAGGUGCGAAAGCGUGGGUAGCAAACAGGAUUAGAUACCCUGGUAGUCCACGCCGUAAACGAUGGGUACUAGGUGUAGCGGGUGUCGACCCCUGCUGUGCCGAAGCUAACGCAUUAAGUACCCCGCCUGGGGAGUACGGUCGCAAGGCUGAA